Molecule: unclassified non-coding RNA, 510 nt
Filed under: Hevea brasiliensis (rubber tree)
Lineage: Eukaryota; Viridiplantae; Streptophyta; Magnoliopsida; Malpighiales; Euphorbiaceae
Source: RNAcentral
UGAUUUAACACAUUUUCAAGUUUGGGCAUGUGUUUUGUUUCUUGACAAUCAUGUGCCUUAUAUUUUGCCCCAUCAAUUAAAAAGGUAUAAAACUCAAACGCUGUCAGCUCAAAUUAGACGGUGUUAAGGGAUUUAUCCCCUUCUUGCUGACAAAGCAAAACAAACGAUACAUGUUUGUCAAGAAAUAAUCCACAUGUCCAAACUUCAAAAUGUGCUAAACCACAAUAUACCUUUUUGUACUUUUCCCUAAAAAUUAUUUCCUCCCCUUAACUUCCUUUUCCAAUAAAGCACAGCCUAAUGUGAAAAUAAUACAAUUGCCAGAUAUGGAAGAUCAAGCAAUGCCGUCCAUUCAAUCACCACCAACACAAAAUAACAUUUAAGACCUCGGUGAUGCAUUAAUAUAGUUGAUCAGAACCAAAAAGUAGGCCAAAAAAACAAGACACUUCAAGCACAAAUAAAAAAAGGUGAAAAACGAAGGAAACAAACCGCAUCCUUCUUGCUAUUUUGCUU